Molecule: ribosomal RNA, 404 nt
Filed under: uncultured bacterium
Lineage: Bacteria
Also listed under: 1 other name
Description: bacterial SSU rRNA
Rfam family: Bacterial small subunit ribosomal RNA
Source: RNAcentral
UGGGGAAUAUUGCACAAUGGAGGAAACUCUGAUGCAGCGACGCCGCGUGAGGGAAGAAGGUCUUCGGAUUGUAAACCUCUGUUGUCAGGGACGAUAAUGACGGUACCUGACGAGGAAGCCACGGCUAACUACGUGCCAGCAGCCGCGGUAAAACGUAGGUGGCAAGCGUUGUCCGGAAUUACUGGGUGUAAAGGGAGCGCAGGCGGAUUUGCAAGUUGGAAGUGAAACUCAUGGGCUCAACCCAUGAACUGCUUUCAAAACUGCAGAUCUUGAGUGGUGUAGAGGUAGGCGGAAUUCCCGGUGUAGCGGUGGAAUGCGUAGAUAUCGGGAGGAACACCAGUGGCGAAGGCGGCCUACUGGGCACUAACUGACGCUGAGGCUCGAAAGCAUGGGUAGCAAACAGG